GAAGUUGAACAUUUUCUCUCGAAGAAUCCGUUUGUAGACAUACACACUCAUUUAAUCUGGAGCUACGAAGUACUUUGUCACUUCUCUGGAACAUUAUUCUAAGCAGAAUUAUCUCGAUUCAUAUACUCUAAGAAUCUUGUGUGAAUUGUUUACGAGGAAAUUCUGACUGUCACAUUAACAAGGAUGAACACUCUUGACUCGGCUUCGGAUUCCCCAGUGAUAAUUUUAUCGAGUGCCGAAAGAGCUGACGGCGACAUUUUAAUGAAUGAUUGGCUUGGACCAUUGGAAUGAAGUCAUUUCAUGUCGUCACCACUUGGAAUGGUAUUAGCUACAAAUAUAGACUUGUACUCAGCACUCAUUGCCUUUAAGAAGUAUGAGAUCCAUUUUGUGCUAACACCUACCCUGACACAGAAUCUUGGUUUAUGCAGUCUCAUAGGAGUAACCUGUCUAAAGCAUUUAGCAAGGGGAUUGGAACCUGCGACGUGUGGCUCAUUUGAAGACUGAAUUUUGAUACCAAGCAUGACCAUGAUUUGCCAGAAGAUCAUCUGUUUGGAU
Molecule: long non-coding RNA, 555 nt
Organism: Saccostrea cuccullata (small rock oyster)
Lineage: Eukaryota; Metazoa; Mollusca; Bivalvia; Ostreida; Ostreidae
Exons: 3
Source: RefSeq, a predicted model, not a curated record